AUGUUAACUAAUAUUGGCGAAGUUACAUGCUGUCCUGAGAUGUUGACAAAUAAAUGCAUUCUGACAGACGCCGACAAUGGACACAGCUGGUCAGUUGUGAGGUGAAUGUUCGCUACGUCAGUACUUAUUCAGUAAAUGUGUUUCCAUCUCCCCUUCGACACAUUAACUCUUUAUUGGAAAUAUCAAAAAAACAAUUAGAAAUUGCACAAUUGAACAAAAAUCUUGUCAUUUUCAAAGAUACUUCAAAAUCUGCAUAGAAAAACAUAAAUGGAAGCAUGGUUAUGGUUAUUGCCAUAAAAACUAGCCAAGUCACUCCUACCCCCGCCACCUCUGGUGUAUGCUUCAUAUGUGUACCUGGUACCAGAUCCCAUUGAGCCAAAAGUCACCAAUCAGUUUUGUAAUUACUAUGUCAGACCUGCUGUGUUAUGUCAAAGACACACAGGUAAACAGAGAGGCAAACCUGUCAUCUGUUCACCUUACGGAAAUACCAAAAACCAUCUCAAAAUUGAAAAAUAGAAAAAGUUAUUUUGAAUUUUGUCAUUUCCAUCGAUACUUCAAGGUAAGGAAUUGGAUCCACUGCCAAGGGAGGCUUCAGGACAUGGAUAAUAAUAAGAUAAUCAUUUCUGUCUUGUUAUGUCUGAUGGGAGGCUGAUCAAGACAUAUUCCAUGGAUCUAAAUGUAAAUUAAGGGAAUUUCGUGGGAACAUUUAGAGAGAACAUCAUAGUGCUGAACAUGAACAAUCCUCAACUUCAGUGAUUCUUUGAACCAAAUAUCUGCUGAUGGUUUUGUGGGUUUGGAGCCAACUGAGGCUAAAUGGACAUCUGCUGAGAUGACAGCUCUGUGUGAGACAGGCAGCCGCCUGGUCGCCCUGGGAACCAACCUCUCAAAGCUUCCUGUCCGUUUUAAACCUGUUCUUCCACGCAGUUGGCUAUCGGGCACAAAUAGUCCUUCUGCUCCUGUUUGUCAAACAUUUUAUACCUCUUGCUGAAAUAUUUCAGAAGCUCAGAUUCUUCAUAGAUUCCAUCCUCCACCCUCCCAGACAUCCCAUCUGGGAGGUUCAUCCCUUACCUCUUCCUUUUCAUUCCUCAUCUUAUUCCCACACUUCCUCCUUCUUCCAUUCCGCCUCUAUCCAUCCUCAUUUUCUCCCUCCCCCCCGACCUAAAAGAGAGGAUAUAGAGAGGCGAGACCUCUUGUCGGUGGUGGGAAAAAAGGGAGAGACCAUCAAGGCGCAGACAGAGGGAUGAAGCGAAAGUAUAGGUUAGUAGGUAGCAGUAUAGGCCUGUUCCAUCCUCCCUCCCCCUCUUCUCAUGCUCUGCAUCCCCUCUGCCCCCCAUUCACUGUGCCAGGGUGGUAUGAACUGCUGGAUUACAAAACAGCCCUCCCAUGUGUCUGCCUGUUCUCUGUGCCAGCCGAGAGACAAGCGAUACCAUGCUCCCGGAGCGCUGCUGAGGCUGAGGGGUGGGAGGGAGGGAGGGAAGAAAGAUGGAGAAAGUGAAGCAAAGAGUGAGAGAAGCAGAACCAAGAAAGUGGGAGUUCAGAGAAAUCAGAUGAGCAGGGAUGGAGGGACAGGAAGACAUGGGAUGGGUAGACAAAAGAUGUAGAGAAAUGAGGAGAGAGAGAGAGAGAGAGAGAGAGAGAGAGAGAGAUAGGGGAGGGAAAGAAGAAGGGAGAUUUGAGCGAUGGCAGAUGAAAGCUUUGGGAGGAGCGGAGCACUGAGCAGCAUCAACCAGCGCUGUGAGAGCAUGUUGAGCCUGCAGGGACAGCCGGGGGGUCAGCUGUCAGCCAUAAGGUUACCGACUGAAGUCAGCUGAGAGAGCGGAGAAACGGCGGCGCGUUGGAAGAAGCUUAAAAGACGGACGCCUUCAACAGAGAUGUGAAGAGAGUGUGUAACUUUCUAACGACAUAAAGAGGAGGAGGUUAAAUCGAGGUGUGGUGUGUGUGUGACCUGUUUCACAUCAGAUCAUCAGCCUGCAAAAGGUAAAAGCAGAACUCCUGUGUGCAAACUGCCCCCAGUGGAGAGACUGUGAAUGACAUGGAAACUGGUCCCAGUAUUUGUUGAGGCUCCAACCUGGGUAUUGCUGCAGCUAUGUGUGUGAAGGUAAUCCUGGACAAAACUGUACUGCAGAGGGACGAUGGGUUCAAAUGUUACAGAAUCUUUGCUGGUUCAGCAGGUGUCGUGUGUGUGUGUGUGCGUGUGUGUGUGUGUUAUGUUUCUGUCCGUGGAGAGAAGUUCUCGUCACACUGCCUCUGCAUCGUCUCACAGCGCCGUGGUGAAGGCCUGG
Molecule: long non-coding RNA, 2282 nt
Organism: Poecilia latipinna (sailfin molly)
Lineage: Eukaryota; Metazoa; Chordata; Actinopteri; Cyprinodontiformes; Poeciliidae
Exons: 4
Source: RefSeq, a predicted model, not a curated record